Anthonomus grandis grandis is the source of this 441-nucleotide long non-coding RNA. RefSeq lists it as uncharacterized. The transcript has 2 exons. Lineage: Eukaryota; Metazoa; Arthropoda; Insecta; Coleoptera; Curculionidae. The record is from RefSeq and is a predicted model, not a curated record.
UUAGACUCUUAUGCCGAAUACGAUCAAAUGUCGAUUUAUAUUCAAUGCGGACGCGGAGAUCCCCCAAAGAUACGCCACUUCCUGGCCAUUUUAAAAUCGCUGGCUUUGUUAUUUUUAUGUUUUGUUUAAGUCCGACCGGUCAAGCAUAAUAUCGUGAUAUUAAAAAAUGGUUUUUAAAUGGGGUCUCGUGGCCAUUUUUUGCUGUUUGGUGGCCGCCAAUAUGGCUAAGGAGGUUGGCUUGAAAAAGGAAAGAGUGGUAAGAUCUGCCUUACCGCAAAUACCGUCUGUACCAGGCUUACCGCCCUUCAAUCAGUUUGAUGCCAUUUUGAAAGCGGCCCAAGAAGCCAUUAAGCUUUUGCAACAAAUACCAAGACCUGGACUUGGCUAAAAGAUUAAUUUACCACAAUUAUUGUUAAUAAAGUGUUUAUUAUUAUAUUUAAA